AGCAGCCGCGGUAAUUCCAGCUCCAAUAGCGUAUAUUAAAGUUGUUGCAGUUAAAAAGCUCGUAGUUGAAUUUCGGGAUCAGUACGCUGGUCGUGCCUUUGGUAUGUACUGGUGUCACUGAUUCCUCCCUUCUGAAGAACCGUUAUGCCAUUUAUUUGGUGUGGCGGGAAAUCAGGACUGUUACUUUGAAAAAAUUAGAGUGUUUAAAGCAGGCUCGCGCUUGAAUACAUUAGCAUGGAAUAAUGAAAUAGGACGUUUGAUCUUAUUUUGUUGGUUUCUAGGAUCGACGUAAUGAUUAAUAGGGAUAGUUGGGGGCAUUAGUAUUCAAUUGUCAGAGGUGAAAUUCUUGGAUUUAUUGAAGACUAACUACUGCGAAAGCAUUUGCCAAGGAUGUUUUCAUUAAUCAAGAACGAAAGUUAGGGGAUCGAAGACGAUCAGAUACCGUCGUAGUCUUAACCAUAAACUAUGCCGACUAGGGAUCGGAUGAUGUUAAUUUUUAAUGACUCAUUCGGCGUCCG
This 518-nucleotide ribosomal RNA is filed under the name uncultured Glomus. RNAcentral describes it as "SSU rRNA". It matches the Rfam family "Eukaryotic small subunit ribosomal RNA", at positions 569 to 1089 of the family's 1831-position model. Lineage: Eukaryota; Fungi; Glomeromycota; Glomeromycetes; Glomerales; Glomeraceae. The record is from RNAcentral.